RNAcentral lists this ribosomal RNA (460 nucleotides) under uncultured bacterium. Its description in RNAcentral is "partial 16S ribosomal RNA". It matches the Rfam family "Bacterial small subunit ribosomal RNA", at positions 338 to 795 of the family's 1533-position model. The record is from RNAcentral.
CCUACGGGUGGCAGCAGUGAGGAAUAUUGGUCAAUGGACGAGAGUCUGAACCAGCCAAGUAGCGUGAAGGAUGACUGCCCUAUGGGUUGUAAACUUCUUUUAUAUGGGAAUAAAAUGUUCCACGUGUGGGAUUUUGUAUGUACCAUAUGAAUAAGGAUCGGCUAACUCCGUGCCAGCAGCCGCGGUAAUACGGAGGAUCCGAGCGUUAUCCGGAUUUAUUGGGUUUAAAGGGAGCGUAGGUGGAUUGUUAAGUCAGUUGUGAAAGUUUGCGGCUCAACCGUAAAAUUGCAGUUGAAACUGGCAGUCUUGAGUACAGUAGAGGUGGGGGGAAUUCGUGGUGUAGCGGUGAAAUGCUUAGAUAGCACGAAGAACUCCGAUUGCGAAGGCAGUUCACUGGACCGCAACUGACACUGAGGCUCGAAAGUGUGGGUAUCAAACAGGAUUAGAUACCCUUGUAGUC